This 260-nucleotide ribosomal RNA is filed under the name uncultured Cryptobacterium sp. RNAcentral's name for it is "partial 16S ribosomal RNA". It matches the Rfam family "Bacterial small subunit ribosomal RNA", at positions 96 to 355 of the family's 1533-position model. The record is from RNAcentral. Lineage: Bacteria; Bacillati; Actinomycetota; Coriobacteriia; Eggerthellales; Eggerthellaceae.
UGGCGAACGGGUGAGUAACACGUGACCAACCUGCCUCUUACAUUGGGACAACCAAAAGAAAUUCUGGCUAAUACCAAAUACUCCGCACAUAUCACAUGAUGUAUGCGGGAAAGCUUUUGCGGUAAGAGAUGGGGUCGCGGCCCAUUAGGUAGACGGCGGGGUAGAAGCCCACCGUGCCGAUGAUGGGUAGCCGGGUUGAGAGACCGACCGGCCACAUUGGGACUGAGAUACGGCCCAGACUCCUACGGGAGGCAGCAGUC